GUACACGCUGUGACUAGCAUAUCAAUAAGCGGAGGAAAAGAAACUAACAAGGAUUCCCUCAGUAACGGCGAGUGAAGCGGGAAGAGCUCAAAUUUGAAAUCUUGAAAGGUCACCUUUCACGAAUUGUAGUUUAAAGAAGUGUUUUCUGUUACGAUCGUAAUAUAAGUUCUUUGGAAUAGGACAUCACAGAGGGUGAGAAUCCCGUCUAUGAUUGCGAUUUGUAGCUUUGUGAUACACUUUCAAAGAGUCGGAUUGUUUGGGAAUGCAGUCCAAAAUGGGAUGGUAAAUUUCAUCUAAAGCUAAAUAUUGGCGAGAGACCGAUAGCGAACAAGUACCGUGAGGGAAAGAUGAAAAGAACUUUGAAAAGAGAGUUAAACAGUACGUGAAAUUGUCAAAAGGGAAGCGUUUGACACCAGUGUUGUUUUCUCGAAAAUCAAUUAAAAAUGGCUCGAUUUUGUAUUGCUUGAGACCUUAAAAGCUCACUGUACAUUUUUCGUGUCUUUUUUAAUGCACUUUUCGUUUAACAAGUCAACAUCAGUUUCUUUUGUUGUAAAAGGGUCAUUGGAAGGUGGCUUUCUUUUCGGAGAAAGUGUUUAUAGCCUUUGGCCUCUGCAAUCGGAGAGACUGAGGUCUGCAGCGUAGACUCUUCGGGGUUAGAUACAUUUGUGCUAAGUUAUAGCUUUUUAUAGACAACUUGUUGACUAUAAUUAGUCUUGUAGCUUACUCGCUUAUGCUAUUUUACCUACGCUUAGGAUGUUGAGUAGCGACAUACGCAC
This 776-nucleotide ribosomal RNA is filed under the name uncultured Neocallimastigales. RNAcentral describes it as "partial large subunit ribosomal RNA". It matches the Rfam family "Eukaryotic large subunit ribosomal RNA", at positions 22 to 649 of the family's 3401-position model. The record is from RNAcentral. Lineage: Eukaryota; Fungi; Neocallimastigomycota; Neocallimastigomycetes; Neocallimastigales.